Molecule: long non-coding RNA, 347 nt
Filed under: Nicotiana benthamiana
Lineage: Eukaryota; Viridiplantae; Streptophyta; Magnoliopsida; Solanales; Solanaceae
Description: long non-coding RNA (NBEN_LNC002623)
Source: RNAcentral
UCUGCAUCACUUUUGCUUUCGAACUCUAUAGUAUCUCUUUGUCCGGCGGCAUCGUUGGACUUCAAUUGCUUAAACUGCCGCCGCCAUCUUAUAAAUUGUCAGUACCAUGGCGGAGGUAGAAGAAAACCCUAAUAUAGUAGUUGCAGAAGAGGAGUUAAUUAAGAAGAAGAGAAAGAGAAAGAGAGACAAGAAGAAUAAAAUGGCCAUAGAAAAAGAGACGAAGAAGGAAGAAGAAAGCGAGGGCAUAGAAGAAGAAGAGAAUGAGGAAGAAGAGCAGCAUAACGAACUGAAGGAGGAGAUUAAGAAAGAGAUGAAGAGUGGUUCCGGUAUUAUGACUACGGAGUUGU